Long non-coding RNA from Myotis davidii, 1078 nucleotides. RefSeq lists it as uncharacterized. The record is from RefSeq and is a predicted model, not a curated record. Lineage: Eukaryota; Metazoa; Chordata; Mammalia; Chiroptera; Vespertilionidae. The transcript has 2 exons.
UAAUGCCAUCUCUUCCGGGAAGUCUUUCCUGCUCUCCUUCACACUUCUUUGAUAUUUAGCUGCACUUUUCUUGCGGCACCUCUUGUUUACUUAGGAAGCAUCCAAGAGCCCGACCAGCCAGGAAGGUCGCUCUGGACAGAGAGGGGCACAUUCAUCCAAGUCCAUCCCAACCCCUAGCCCUCACGCGGCCAGGCGGACAAGUGCAAUAAACAAUGUUGGUUCGCUCCAUCAAUAGUUCUUCCCCGAAACGGAAACCCAGGGCACAACUGCCUCCGACGAAACCACCGGGAUAACCGUCGUCCUGAGGUCCGAGAGCGGGCGAGAACUCCUCCGAGUCUGUUGUAAAACGCCUGCCCCAACCCUGAAGAUGGAGCCGCCAGGAAACUAAGUGACGGAAAAGGGGGUUCCGCCCCCCGGCCCGCGCCACCCCUGACGUUCGCCUCGCCCUCCGAUUGGUUGCUCCUUGCACAUGACCCGCUGGCCGCCGCGGGAUUGGUUGUCUGGCAGAGGCCGCAGUGGGUGGUGGGAUGCCGGCGGACCCUGGAGGCGGAGGCCGGUGGGAAGCGGGAGCUGUUGUCCUGGAGGGAGGGCUGGGAGGCCGGCAGUCGGCACCGUGAGCCUUCGCCGGCUGGGCAAGCCUCCUGGGAGUCUAGGGCGUAGGAAUUUUAGGAUUUUUCAAAUGGGGCUUAGGACUCCUGGCUCCGGCCUUACUCGACUUUCCCCACAAGGACGGCUUCUCUGUCUUCCUUGGAGUUGGUGGGGUUUGGACCGUUAUUUUUGACGGUCCCCUGUGUGUAAGCACUGGUUAUCCUGCGCCGGGCGCCGUGCAGAGCGCCAUGAGGUAGAAGGGGGCGGGGGAUGCAGGAGGAGGGUUUAGAGAUGCUUGUGAUGUGGUCCUUACCUACGUGACGCGUUGGAGGUUGAGGUGAAAACUCUGGCUUUGAUACCUUCAUGGAGUACUACAUUAUUUCAGUCCUGAAUCUGGUUCCGUUCUCUUAUUGACUUAUUAUAUUAAAAAUGUUUUUGAAAUUGAUACUUGCUUUGGUAAAACCUUGCUAUUUAACAAGAAUUCUUGCAA